Molecule: ribosomal RNA, 253 nt
Filed under: uncultured bacterium
Lineage: Bacteria
Description: partial 16S ribosomal RNA
Rfam family: Bacterial small subunit ribosomal RNA
Source: RNAcentral
GACGUAGGGCGCGAGCGUUGUCCGGAUUUAUUGGGCGUAAAGCGCUCGUAGGCGGCUCGUUGCGUCAACCGUGAAAACCCGGGGCUUAACUUCGGGCUUGCGGUUGAUACGGGCGGGCUGGAGUUCGGUAGGGGAGACUGGAAUUCCUGGUGUGGCGGUGAAAUGCGCAGAUAUCAGGAGGAACACCGGUGGCGAAGGCGGGUCUCUGGGCCGAUACUGACGCUGAGGAGCGAAAGCGUGGGGAGCGAACAGG